CUGAACGCUGGCGGCGUGGCUAAGACAUGCAAGUCGCACGGGGUAGCAAUACCCAGUGGCGAACGGGAGAGUAAUGAAUCGCUAAUGUACCCCGGACUCUGGGAUAGCUACCCGAAAGGGUAGGUAAUACCAGAUGACAUAACUUACAGGCAUCUGUGAGUUCUCAAAGGUCCGCCGGUCUGGGAGCAGGCGAUUUCGUAUCAGCUAGUUGGUGAGGUAACGGCUCACCAAGGCGACGACGCGUAGCCGGACUGAGAGGUUGGCCGGCCUCAUUGGGACUGAGACACUGCCCAGACUCCUACGGGGGGCUGCAGUAACGAAUCUUCCGCAAUGCACGAAAGUGUGACGGAGCGACGCCGCGUGUGGGACGAAGCCCUUCGGGGUGUAAACCACUGUCAGGGGUUACCAAGUUCUGAGGAGCCCCAGAGGAAGGCACGGCUAACUCUGUGCCAGCAGCCGCGGUAAUU
RNAcentral lists this ribosomal RNA (467 nucleotides) under uncultured bacterium. Its description in RNAcentral is "bacterial SSU rRNA". It matches the Rfam family "Bacterial small subunit ribosomal RNA", at positions 30 to 525 of the family's 1533-position model. The record is from RNAcentral.